RNAcentral lists this ribosomal RNA (497 nucleotides) under uncultured bacterium. RNAcentral describes it as "partial 16S ribosomal RNA". It matches the Rfam family "Bacterial small subunit ribosomal RNA", at positions 28 to 507 of the family's 1533-position model. The record is from RNAcentral.
GAUGAACGCUGGCGGCGUGCCUAAUACAUGCAAGUCGAGCGAACGGACGAGAAGCUUGCUCCUCUGAUGUUAGCGGCGGACGGGUGAGUAACACGUGGAUAACCUACCUAUAAGUCUGGGAUAACUUCGGGAAACCGGAGCUAAUACCGGAUAAUAUUUUGAACCGCAUGGUUCAAAAGUGAAAGACGGUCUUGCUGUCACUUAUAGAUGGAUCCGCGCUGCAUUAGCUAGUUGGUAAGGUAACGGCUUACCAAGGCAACGAUGCAUAGCCGACCUGAGAGGGUGAUCGGCCACACUGGAACUGAGACACGGUCCAGACUCCUAAGGGAGGCAGCAGUAGGGAAUCUUCCGCAAUGGGCGGAAGCCUGACCGAGCAACGCCGCGUGGGUGAAGAAGGGCUUCGGAUUGUAAAACCCUGUUAUUAGGGAAGAACAUAUGUGGAAGUAAACGUGGACAUUUUGACGGUACCCAAACAAGAAGCCCCGGCUAACUUCGUG